GACGAACGCUGGCGGCGUGCUUAACACAUGCAAGUCGAACGGAAAGGCCCUGCUUUUGUGGGGUGCUCGAGUGGCGAACGGGUGAGUAACACGUGAGUAACCUGCCCUUGACUUUGGGAUAACUUCAGGAAACUGGGGCUAAUACAGGAUAGGAGCUCCUGCUGCAUGGUGGGGGUUGGAAAGUUUCGGCGGUUGGGGAUGGACUCGCGGCUUAUCAGCUUGUUGGUGGGGUAGUGGCUUACCAAGGCUUUGACGGGUAGCCGGCCUGAGAGGGUGACCGGCCACAUUGGGACUGAGAGACGGCCCAGACUCCUACGGGAGGCAGCAGUGGGGAAUAUUGCACAAUGGGCGGAAGCCUGAUGCAGCAACGCCGCGUUCGUGAUGACGGCCUUCGGGUUGUAAACCGCUUUCGCCUGUGACGAAGCGUGAGUGACGGUAAUGGGUAAAGAAGCACCGGCUAACUACGUG
RNAcentral lists this ribosomal RNA (468 nucleotides) under uncultured bacterium. Its description in RNAcentral is "partial 16S ribosomal RNA". It matches the Rfam family "Bacterial small subunit ribosomal RNA", at positions 28 to 507 of the family's 1533-position model. The record is from RNAcentral.